GCCGCCAGAAACGCGCGGCCAAGGUCGAGCUCGUUGGCCUCCUCAUCGUCUUCUUGCUGCGCUCCGUGACACCUAGCUAGGCCCGAGCAGCUCCAUCCCUGCAUCUCGUCCUUGCCAUCUGCCUGCUCCGCUUCCAGCAAGGUGAGUUCCUCCCUCUGCUUUCUUCCUUUUGUGAUCCUUCCUCCGCUGCUCCUCCCCUGUCACCC
This 206-nucleotide long non-coding RNA is filed under the name Setaria italica (foxtail millet). Its description in RNAcentral is "long non-coding RNA (SITA_LNC002560)". The record is from RNAcentral. Lineage: Eukaryota; Viridiplantae; Streptophyta; Magnoliopsida; Poales; Poaceae.